This 218-nucleotide ribosomal RNA is filed under the name uncultured bacterium. RNAcentral's name for it is "partial 16S ribosomal RNA". It matches the Rfam family "Bacterial small subunit ribosomal RNA", at positions 328 to 539 of the family's 1533-position model. The record is from RNAcentral.
ACGCUCGACACCUACGGGAGACAGCAGUGAGGAAUAUUGGUCAAUGGGCGCUAGCCUGAACCAGCCAAGUAGCGUGAAGGAUGAAGGCUCUAUGGGUCGUAAACUUCUUUUAUAUAAGAAUAAAGUGCAGUAUGUAUACUGUUUUGUAUGUAUUAUAUGAAUAAGGAUCGGCUAACUCCGUGCCAGCAGACGCGGUAAUCUGAGCGGGCUGGCAAGGC